Molecule: non-coding RNA, 74 nt
Organism: Eumeta japonica
Lineage: Eukaryota; Metazoa; Arthropoda; Insecta; Lepidoptera; Psychidae
Source: the annotation of a GenBank genome assembly
GACCCAUUAGCUCAAUUGAUUAGAGCGUCGUGCUAAUAACGCGAAGGUCGCGGAUUCGAUUCCCUCAUGGAACA